CUCGUAGGCGGUUUCGUAAGUCGGAUGUGAAAGCCCUAGGCUUAACCAAGGAAGUGCAUUCGAAACUGUGAGACUUGAGUAUGGGAGAGGGUUGUGGAAUUCUCGGUGUAGAGGUGAAAUUCGUAGAUAUCGGGAGGAACACCAGAGGCGAAGGCGACAACCUGGACCAAUACUGACGCUGAGGAGCGAAAGCGUGGGGAGCAAACAGGAUUAGAUACCCUGGUAGUCC
RNAcentral lists this ribosomal RNA (229 nucleotides) under uncultured bacterium. RNAcentral describes it as "partial 16S ribosomal RNA". It matches the Rfam family "Bacterial small subunit ribosomal RNA", at positions 568 to 796 of the family's 1533-position model. The record is from RNAcentral.